GACGAACGCUGGCGGCGUGCUUAACACAUGCAAGUCGAACGGAAAGGCCCUGCUUUUGUGGGGUGCUCGUGUGGCGAACGGGUGUGUAACACGUGAGUAACCUGCCCUUGACUUUGGGAUAUCUUUUGGAAACUGGGGCUAAUACAGGAUAGGAGCUCCUGCUGCAUGGUGGGGGUUGGAAAGUUUCGGCGGUUGGGGAUGGACUCGCGGCUUAUCAGCUUGUUGGUGGGGUAGUGGCUUACCAAGGCUUUGACGGGUAGCCGGCCUGAGAGGGUGACCGGCGACAUUGGGACUAAGAGACGGCCCAGACUCCUACGGGAGGCAGCAGUGGGGAACAUUGCACAAUGGGCGGAAGCCUGAUGCAGCAACGCCGCGUGCGGGAUGACGGCCUUCGGGUUGUAAACCGCUUUCGCCUGUGACGAAGCGUGAGUGACGGUAAUGGGUAAAGAAGCACCGGCUAACUACGUG
RNAcentral lists this ribosomal RNA (468 nucleotides) under uncultured bacterium. RNAcentral describes it as "partial 16S ribosomal RNA". It matches the Rfam family "Bacterial small subunit ribosomal RNA", at positions 28 to 507 of the family's 1533-position model. The record is from RNAcentral.